AUACGUAGGGUGCAAGCGUUAAUCGGAAUUACUGGGCGUAAAGCGUGCGCAGGCGGUUUUGUAAGACAGAGGUGAAAUCCCCGGGCUCAACCUGGGAACUGCCUUUGAGACUGCAAGGCUAGAGUACGGCAGAGGGGGGUGGAAUUCCGCGUGUAGCAGUGAAAUGCGUAGAUAUGCGGAGGAACACCGGUGGCGAAGGCAGUUCCCUGGGCCUGUACUGACGCUCAUGCACGAAAGCGUGGGGAGCAAACAGGAUUAGAUACCCGGGUAGUCCACGCCCUAAACGAUGUCAGCUGGUGGUGGGGUCUUCAUGGACUCAGUACCGAAGCUAACGCGUGAAGUAGACCGCCUGGGGAGUGCGGCCGCAAGAUUGAAACUCAAAGGAAUUGACGGGG
Molecule: ribosomal RNA, 395 nt
Filed under: uncultured bacterium
Lineage: Bacteria
Description: partial 16S ribosomal RNA
Rfam family: Bacterial small subunit ribosomal RNA
Source: RNAcentral